AUGUUGAUGAAAGCGGUAGGAUAUAAUAUGGGAGGAGGGCAAAUGGUCCAAGUUUUCUAAUGCACGAGCUGACAGGGUGGGAGUCCCACUACUUAUUUAUCUAUCAUGUUCCCUUCCUGUUCUCACAGGUGUCCCUCCCCAGUAACCUUCUCAGUGUCUGCUUUCCAGAAAAAACAAGCUACAAUGAAUAUCUUCAACCACAGAACUAAUGCCAAUUUUAUUUUUCCAAUCGCACCCUCAGUAACACUGUACGAGCAUAUGGCUCUUCCUCAGGAACAGACAUUUGAUGACUUUGCCAACCGUCCCAGGAAACAUCCUUUGCAUUGAGAAGGCUUUACAAAGUAUACUGCUAAAACGUAAGUAGUCUAGACACGGUUGUCACUUGAAGUUUUGCUAACACUCAUAUUUCCCAGUUUGGGGUUAAGGACAUUUUAUUCUGGAGUGUGUUAAUAGAUGUGCCAAGAAAAAAGAAAAAAAAAGUCUUUCCUGGCUCAAAUAGGUUUGUUUAAUAGUUAAGCAAAAUUAGAGAGGUUUCUUUCUUUCUGCAGGACCUUUCAGAGCCUUUAAUAUGCUAAUGGGUAUUAUGACUUUCCUAGGAGAAAAUCUGGUAUUCAGCAUUUCCCAAGUUUUCCUGACCAUGAGGCUCUUUGUUCCUUGAGCACCAAUUAACACUCACAAGAAUCAGUGCGUGCAGAACAGAGCGCUCUAUAAAAAAUUAGCAGCCAAAUAACAGCAUAGGGAAGGCAAAAAAGAGAAACAAGGAUGAAGGGACACUCACACAGGAACUAGGAGAGCCCAGCAGCCAGUUUACCUUUCUCACAACUUUGCUAGCACCUGUGGUGGGUAUUUAAAUACUGAACAAAUUUUAACGAACGGCAUGACCCAUCUGAUAAUCACCUAUGCUCCAUAAACAUCGCAGUAACUAGACCUAUUGGUUGAGUUUCUCUGACUUCUACAUCUUUCCUGAAUAACACUUGAAUAAGCUAUUCGUUUUUCGAUUAUAUAAAGGCCAUCAAAGGAUUAAUUGGGGCAAAUUAAGCAAGGAACCUUGAAAUAAACUAUGUAGGUUUACUAAGAGUUGACUAAAA
Molecule: long non-coding RNA, 1088 nt
Filed under: Vulpes vulpes (red fox)
Lineage: Eukaryota; Metazoa; Chordata; Mammalia; Carnivora; Canidae
Description: lncRNA (ENSVVUG00000011111.1)
Source: RNAcentral